Molecule: ribosomal RNA, 40 nt
Filed under: Saccharomyces cerevisiae (brewer's yeast)
Lineage: Eukaryota; Fungi; Ascomycota; Saccharomycetes; Saccharomycetales; Saccharomycetaceae
Also listed under: 1 other name
Description: partial 28S ribosomal RNA
Source: RNAcentral
GUUUGACCUCAAAUCAGGUAGGAGUACCCGCUGAACUUAA